Molecule: ribosomal RNA, 277 nt
Filed under: uncultured Eubacteriales bacterium
Lineage: Bacteria; Bacillati; Bacillota; Clostridia; Eubacteriales
Description: uncultured Clostridiales bacterium partial 16S ribosomal RNA
Rfam family: Bacterial small subunit ribosomal RNA
Source: RNAcentral
AGAAUCCUUCGGGAGGAAGACCAUUGUGACUGAGUGGCGGACGGGUGAGUAACGCGUGGGUAACCUGCCUUGUACAGGGGGAUAACAGUUAGAAAUAGCUGCUAAUACCGCAUAAGCGCACGGUUCCGCAUGGAACAGUGUGAAAAACUCCGGUGGUACGAGAUGGACCCGCGUCUGAUUAGCUGGUUGGUGAGGUAACGGCUCACCAAGGCGACGAUCAGUAGCCGGCCUGAGAGGGUGAACGGCCACAUUGGGACUGAGACACGGCCCAAACUCC